GAUGAAGAACGCAGCGAAACGCGAUAGUUAAUGUGAAUUGCAGAAUUCGGUGAAUCAUCGAGUCUUUGAACGCACAUUGCGCCCAUUGGUAUUCCGUUGGGCAUGUCUGUUUGAGCGUCAUUACAACAGUUCAGCGUAAGCUGGUUAUGAGUUCUGUUUUUUUAAACAAAAAACAGGCUUUAAAAUGUAUGUUCUGCAGGUCGCUUUGCUAAACCCUAAACAUUAAAUACUGUUCUAGUGAAGCAUUUGCGACUCUGCCUGAAAAAAAACUUUUGUUAAAGUUUGACCUCAGAUCAGACAAGGAUACCCGCUGAACUUAAGCAUAUCAAUAAGCGGAGGA
This 340-nucleotide unclassified non-coding RNA is filed under the name soil metagenome. RNAcentral's name for it is "partial contains 5.8S ribosomal RNA, internal transcribed spacer 2, and large subunit ribosomal RNA". The stretch from base 1 to 120 matches the Rfam family "5.8S ribosomal RNA", at positions 35 to 154 of the family's 154-position model. The record is from RNAcentral.